GAUGAACGCUGGAGGCGUGCCUAAUACAUGCAAGUCGAGCGAACAGACGAGGAGCUUGCUCCUCUGACGUUAGCGGCGGACGGGUGAGUAACACGUGGAUAACCUACCUAUAAGACUGGGAUAACUUCGGGAAACCGGAGCUAAUACCGGAUAAUAUAUUGAACCGCAUGGUUCAAUAGUGAAAGACGGUUUUGCUGUCACUUAUAGAUGGAUCCGCGCCGCAUUAGCUAGUUGGUAAGGUAACGGCUUACCAAGGCAACGAUGCGUAGCCGACCUGAGAGGGUGAUCGGCCACACUGGAACUGAGACACGGUCCAGACUCUUACGGGAGGCAGCAGUAGGGAAUCUUCCGCAAUGGGCGAAAGCCUGACGGAGCAACGCCGCGUGAGUGAUGAAGGUCUUCGGAUCGUAAAACUCUGUUAUUAGGGAAGAACAAAUGUGUAAGUAACUAUGCACGUCUUGACGGUACCUAAUCAGAAAGCCACGGCUAACUACGUG
Molecule: ribosomal RNA, 497 nt
Filed under: uncultured bacterium
Lineage: Bacteria
Description: partial 16S ribosomal RNA
Rfam family: Bacterial small subunit ribosomal RNA
Source: RNAcentral